This 442-nucleotide ribosomal RNA is filed under the name uncultured bacterium. RNAcentral's name for it is "partial 16S ribosomal RNA". It matches the Rfam family "Bacterial small subunit ribosomal RNA", at positions 338 to 795 of the family's 1533-position model. The record is from RNAcentral.
CCUACGGGUGGCAGCAGUGGGGAAUAUUGGGCAAUGGGCGCAAGCCUGAACCAGCAACGCCGCGUGAAGGAAGAAGGCUUUCGGGUUGUAAACUUCUUUUGUCAGGGAAGAGUAGAAGACGGUACCUGACGAAUAAGCCAGGGCGAACUACGUGACAGCCGCCGCGGUAAUACGUAGGUGGCAAGCGUUGUACGGAUUUACUGGGUGUAAAGGGCGUGUAGGGGGGUUGAAAAGUCAGAUGUGAAAUCCUGCGGCUUAACCGCAGAACUGCAUUUGAAACUGUUGAUCUUGAGUACUGGAGAGGCAGGCGGAAUGCCUGGUGUAGCGGUGAAAUGCGUAGAUAUUAGGAGGAACACCAGUGGCGAAGGCGGUCUGCUGGACAGCAACUGACGCUGAGGCGCGAAAGCGUGGGGAGCAAACAGGAUUAGAUACCCUAGUAGUC